This 303-nucleotide ribosomal RNA is filed under the name uncultured bacterium. RNAcentral's name for it is "partial 16S ribosomal RNA". It matches the Rfam family "Bacterial small subunit ribosomal RNA", at positions 507 to 808 of the family's 1533-position model. The record is from RNAcentral.
AGCAGUAGCCGCGGGAAUACGUAGGUGGCAAGCGUUGUCCGGAAUUAUUGGGCGUAAAGCGCGCGCAGGCGGAUAGGUCAGUCUGUCUUAAAAGUUCGGGGCUUAACCCCGUGAUGGGAUGGAAACUGCCAAUCUAGAGUAUCGGAGAGGAAAGUGGAAUUCCUAGUGUAGCGGUGAAAUGCGUAGAUAUUAGGAAGAACACCAGUGGCGAAGGCAACUUUCUGGACGAAAACUGACGCUGAGGCGCGAAAGCCAGGGGAGCGAACGGGAUUAGAUACCCCUGUAGUCCCUGUCUCUUAUACC